AGUGAACGCUGGCGGUAGGCCUAACACAUGCAAGUCGAACGGCAGCACAGGAGAGCUUGCUCUCUGGGUGGCGAGUGGCGGACGGGUGAGGAAUACAUCGGAAUCUACUUUUACGUGGGGGAUAACGUAGGGAAACUUACACUAAUACCGCAUACGACCUACGGGUGAAAGCAGGGGACCUUCGGGCCUUGCGCGAUUGAAUGAGCCGAUGUCGGAUUAGCUAGUUGGCGGGGUAAAGGCCCACCAAGGCGACGAUCCGUAGCUGGUCUGAGAGGAUGAUCAGCCGCACUGGAACUGAGACACGGUCCAGACUCCUACGGGAGGCAGCAGUGGGGAAUAUUGGACAAUGGGCGCAAGCCUGAUCCAGCCAUACCGCGUGGGUGAAGAAGGCCUUCGGGUUGUAAAGCCCUUUUGUUGGGAAAGAAAUCCAGCUGGCUAAUACCCGGUUGGGAUGACGGUACCCAAAGAAUAAGCACCGGCUAACUUCGUGCCAGCCGCCGCUGUAA
Molecule: ribosomal RNA, 506 nt
Filed under: uncultured bacterium
Lineage: Bacteria
Description: partial 16S ribosomal RNA
Rfam family: Bacterial small subunit ribosomal RNA
Source: RNAcentral